This 253-nucleotide ribosomal RNA is filed under the name uncultured bacterium. RNAcentral describes it as "partial 16S ribosomal RNA". It matches the Rfam family "Bacterial small subunit ribosomal RNA", at positions 524 to 776 of the family's 1533-position model. The record is from RNAcentral.
UACGUAGGUGGCAAGCGUUGUCCGGAUUUAUUGGGUUUAAAGGGUGCGUAGGCGGCUUUGUAAGUCAGUGGUGAAAUAUGGCAGCUUAACUGUCAAGGUGCCAUUGAUACUGCGGAGCUUGAGUACAGAUGAGGUAGGCGGAAUUGACGGUGUAGCGGUGAAAUGCGUAGAGAUCCGGAAGAACACCGGUGGCGAAGGCGGCCUGCUGGGCUAUGGCUGACACUGAGGCGCGACAGCGUGGGGAGCAAACAGG